RNAcentral lists this ribosomal RNA (460 nucleotides) under uncultured bacterium. Its description in RNAcentral is "partial 16S ribosomal RNA". It matches the Rfam family "Bacterial small subunit ribosomal RNA", at positions 338 to 795 of the family's 1533-position model. The record is from RNAcentral.
CCUACGGGAGGCAGCAGUGAGGAAUAUUGGUCAAUGGGCGCGAGCCUGAACCAGCCAAGUCGCGUGAGGGAGGACGGCCCUACGGGUUGUAAACCUCUUUUGCCGGGGAGCAACGGGCGUCACGUGUGGCGCCACUGAGUGUACCCGGAGAAAAAGCAUCGGCUAACUCGGUGCCAGCAGACGCGGUAAUACGGAGGAUGCGAGCGUUAUCCGUAUUUAUUGUGUUUAAAGGGUGCGUAGGCGGAGCGUUAAGUCAGUGGUCAAAUUGAGGGUCUCAACCCCUUCCCGCCAUUGAAACUGGCGUUCUUGAGUGGAAGAGAAGUAUGCGGAAUGCGUGGUGUGGCGGUGAAAUGCAUAGCUAUCACGCAGAACCCCGAUUGCGAAGGCAGCAUGCCGGCUUCCGACUGACGCUGAAGCACGAAAGCGUGGGGAUCGAACAGGAUUAGAUACCCUUGUAGUC